Molecule: unclassified non-coding RNA, 433 nt
Filed under: Hevea brasiliensis (rubber tree)
Lineage: Eukaryota; Viridiplantae; Streptophyta; Magnoliopsida; Malpighiales; Euphorbiaceae
Source: RNAcentral
UGUGCUGCUCUUUGAAGGUAUUUUGUUUGACUUGAUGGAUUUCAUUUGCUGUAUUUAACCCAAGCUAUAGUGUUAUCCAGUUAUUAGUUUACAUUUUUAUUUUGUUCUAAGUGCAAACUGUGUCAUACUCCGACCAGAGACUCUUUAAGCAGAGUCUUUGCGUAUAUGAACUAAAUAAUAAGAGACUCUGAAGGUUUUUCCUUCAUGGCAUUUGGUCUCUCUCUUAGCAUUAGCUUCUUAAAUUUUCUCUUCAUAUUAGCUAUCUGCUUAGCUGCAUGGUAAAAUAACUAUUUGCAAAUCAACCAUUUAUGUGUUGCUAAUAAUGAACUGUUAAUACUUUCCAUUACUGUUAAUACUUUCCAUUCUUAUAAUGUUUUAUUUAUUUUCUAUUUAUUUAUUUAUUUUCCUUUGAUUCAUUUCAUCUAGUAACUCG